This 354-nucleotide long non-coding RNA is filed under the name Vitis vinifera (wine grape). Its description in RNAcentral is "long non-coding RNA (VVIN_LNC004706)". The record is from RNAcentral. Lineage: Eukaryota; Viridiplantae; Streptophyta; Magnoliopsida; Vitales; Vitaceae.
AAGAGUGAGGAAUCCAUGAAAAAAAACGGUGUGCAAUUCCGAGUUUGAAUGAGGGAGCUAUGAUCAAAACAAGCCCGAGUGCUCCGAACCUCAACAUGCCCCUAUAAACUCCAACUAAGCUAAAACAUCGGGAUGACCCCACUUCCUUCCUAUAGGGUGAUGUGAACGACUAGGAAAAUGGCCACGAUGACCCUCCAAAAUGAACCACAUACGCACCACAAUGGACCACAGACAAGCCCACACGAGGCUCAGACACCGACUAAGCCCAAAAGGGGCCCUAGUGGUGCCAUAUGAGAACGAUGGGUGCAGGUGACACCCAAAGGAUAAAUGUCAGUGUCGAGGGACAAAAUUGAG